AUGCUGGCCCGACGAGGAGCGGCGUGCAGUGGUGGCGGCGGCGUCCGUGGAGACGGUGGGCACGCGGAUGGAGUGGCCCGACCACGACGAGGGCGGCCGACAGGGGCUCGGUUCGAGGCGGCGCGCGGUAGUGCCGGUGUCGUGGCGGAGGCGGUGGGCACCGAGAUGGCGGCGGCAGGCUUGUUGGCUGCUCUCUCGGCCAUGGCGGUCGUCCUCCGCUCGUUGAACCGGAUGGAUCGGGCUUGCGUCGCGUGCUGCUGCGUGGGACUCCUCCUCUACGAGCCGAUCGGAGACGAGCCGAGCUGCGACGAGUGCCGAGCGCUAGCGCCAGGAGCAGCGAGAGUGGGUGCCGUGGGAUGCCAUCGAGAGACACGUGGCGCCAUCCUAGAUCGGGUGCGCACGGGAGGAGCCCUGGAGACGGUCUCCACGGAAUUUUUUUCCGCCACGCUCCUGAUAACAAAACAAAUCAAGAUGUGA
This 477-nucleotide ribosomal RNA is filed under the name Triticum aestivum (bread wheat). RNAcentral describes it as "partial small subunit ribosomal RNA". The record is from RNAcentral. Lineage: Eukaryota; Viridiplantae; Streptophyta; Magnoliopsida; Poales; Poaceae.